RNAcentral lists this long non-coding RNA (3376 nucleotides) under Solanum tuberosum (potato). RNAcentral's name for it is "long non-coding RNA (STUB_LNC009525)". The stretch from base 1317 to 1396 matches the Rfam family "Small nucleolar RNA R21". The record is from RNAcentral. Lineage: Eukaryota; Viridiplantae; Streptophyta; Magnoliopsida; Solanales; Solanaceae.
CGCCACUCUUCUUCUCAUUUCGCCUUCUCCAUUUUCUGCAAAAUCUCCACUGUGCUUAAAUGGUGAUUCUUCUAUUCCGAUAUUUAUAUUCAUACUUAGAUCUUCACGUUUUAUAAAAAUAUUAUCCACACCGAGUUUUUACACCAAUUAAAGUAACAUUUGUCUUGCAUUUUUUCACUUUGAUUUGUUGAUUUUUCAAGUUAAUUGCUUGAUUUGGCGUAUACACUUGAUAUUGAUAAAUAUUUAUCCUUCUGUAAAGUUGUUUUUUGAGUAGUUAAUGAUCAAAAACGCAACUCAAGUUUUUUUUUCUCGUGAAUUUCAUACUCCAGCUAUAAGUUGUUUUCUUUUUGUAUUUUAACUAUCUAUGUAUUAAAAGGAUUAACUGAUAGAUGUGGUAUGAAAUUCGCGAAAAAAUGAUUGUUCAGAUUCAUAGUUGGAGUUCAUAUUGUUAUGGCUAUGACGAUAAAAAAUAUAAAAGUAGUGGACUGAAAAAUACAUUGAUGAAUAAAUUAAUUCUGAGCGAUGCUUAUUUCAUGUUCUUAUUUAUCUUAUGUUAUAUAUUUUUUUUCAUUUUUCACACUACAUCCCUGUGAUGAGUUCUUUCUAAAUUUAACGUUAAAAGUAGACUGAUCUUUAAAGGAAGAAAAAUACUCAAUUCUGAGGGAUGAAUUAUUUUCUUACAUUAGUCCUUUUUUUUAGUUGGGAAUUUUACAAAUUCUAGUUGAUAGACAAGUUAAGAUUCUAAUUAUUUGCUGCUAUUUGAAAAUUACUGAACUUUUUUGUUCCAACGACUGUAGCCAAUUUAAGAAAGUUCUUUUUUUUUUGCUGUGAUUUGUUAUAAAUUGUGUUGUAUUUAGAAUAUUUGAAUCUCUGUGAUGAACUAGCUGAAUAAUUUAAAAGUAGUGGCCUGAUGACCAUUGAUGAAAAGCUUUGUUCUGAGGGAUUCCGCAAAAUGUUGGUUGGGCGGAGGGGCUCUACUGGAGUAACUAGUUUUUUUGCUUUAAUUUUACCACAUAUGUAGUGUUGAUUUGCACGUUGAGUGGCACUUGAUAUUAUGUUUGACCAGUUUUUUGCUUAAAGAUGGUGCCUUUUUGUUGUUAGACAUCAUCCCUCUAGAGUACUAUCGUUUUCUUUGUCAGUAAUUUUGUAAUGUACCUCGUUUUAGAAAUUAUUUGUUGUUGUUAUAUGUUAUAAUGUGUCUUGUGUUUUACUUGAGACGAGGGUUUGACUGAAAUAACCUCUUUACAAGGUAGGGGUAAGGCUUCGUACACAUCACCCUGCUUAGACCUCACUUGUGGUUUGUCGUGUUGUUGUUGAAUCCCUCUGAUGAAUUAGCUGAAUAAUUUAAAAGUAGUGGCCUGAUGACCAUUGAUGAAAAGCUUUGUUCUGAGGGAUUCUUUGUUUAUUUAUUGACUUGAUGUGGUAAAAGCUAGAUUUUGCUUUUGAUGUUAUGUUUAAACAUCUUCUUUUUUUUGCUUUAAAUGGUGUCUUUGUCUUGUUAGGUGUUAUUGUUCUCGAGUACUAUUGUCUUCUUAGUCAGUAAUAUGCAACUUGCAUCUCCAUAAAUAUUAGCUAUGGCAAUUUAAGGUUGUGAACUGAAGCCAAUUGAUGAUUUACAUUGUGACAGGUGAUUUUAAAAAUUAUUUAUUGCUGUGAUAUGUUAUAAUGUGUCUGCUUUUUCAGAAGUUUCUUUGAUACUUGUGAUGAAUCAACUGAAUAAUUUUAAAGUAGUGGCCUGAUGACCAUUGAUGAAAAACUUUUUGCCGAGGGAUUUCUUGUUUACAUUUAGUGUUAAGUAGUUUUUGCCUUAAUUUUACCACAAAUGUACUGUCAAUUUGCAUAUACAAUGGCACUCGGUAUUACAUGUUUAUGCCUAAAAAUCUAAAAAUGUGGUGUCUUUUUUCUUGUUAGGCAUCAGUCAUCACUAUUCUGGAGUGCUAGUCAAUAAUAUGGUUAUUUACAUCGUCUUAGAAUAUUGUUAUACUGCGAUAUGUUAUAAUGUGUCUUGAUUUUUCAGAAGUAUUUAAAUCCCGAUGAUGAAGUUAGCUGAAUAAUUUAAAAGUAGUGGCCUGAUGACCAUUGAUGAAAAGCUUUACUCUGAGGGAUUUCAUGUUUCUUUGCUUUGUUUCUUCUUCUUCUUCACAAAGGGACUUGAUAUGGUUAAACUAGUUUUUGUUUUAGUUAACAUAUGUUGUGUCAAUUCGCACGUACAAUUGUACGCGAUAGUGUUUUUAAGCCCUUUUUCUUUUUGCCAAUACAUAUUGUCUUUUUCUUGCUAGCCAUCAUCCUUCUACUACUAUUGUUUUCUUAGUCAGUAAUUUGGUAAUAUACUUCAUCUUAAAGUAUUUUCUUGUAUUCAUACAUGGGUAUAGCCAGGUGAUGCCGGAAAAUUAUAUGGUUAAAAUUACUUUUUUUGUAGACAUAGUAGAUGUUGAACCUCAUUCGGCUUCUUUGUGUGUUAACUUCUUCAUAUUUUGAUCCCUUAAGUGAAAAUCUUGGCCUUGCCACUGUUUAUACAUACGAUGCUUAAUAAGAUACUUUCAACUAUUGUGCAAAUAUAGUACAUAGAUAUUGCCAAAGGUUCUUAUUCAGAUCCCUGUGUUAGAUUGUGUGGAGCCAAAAAAAAAAAUAUGGUGAACUUGUUUUUGCUUUAAUUGUACCACAUCUGUGGUGUCGAUUUGCUUGUACAAUGGCACUCAAUAUUACAUUUAAUAUAUUUUCUUGUAUAUAUAUACCUAAGAUACUUAUGUAAUGUUACUCAACUUUCAACUGUCAAUUCUGAGUUGUACCAUAUUAUAGUUUUAUGAGUUGGAUGUGAUGAAUAGAUUUUGUCAAAGGUACUUGUUCAGAUUCUUCCUUUGUUUGAUAUACUUGUCCCCUUGUUUGUUGUAAGAUUGUGUGGAGUUCAAAAAAAGAGAACAAGAUUGUACUUGACAUUGUUUGUUGCUUUAUCUCUAGUUGUCAUCCACAUCAAGGGUUCAAGUAACAACAACAAUUUACUCUGUAUAAUCUCACAAGUGGUGUUUGAAGAGGAUAGAAUGUAUGCAAAAGUGGCGUCUCCGAUAAACCGUCCAUCAAAAGAUAAGAGUUCAAGGAAUAUAACCCAAAAUAUAUGAAUGUUUGGAGAGGAUAGAAUGUACGCAAAAGUGGCGUUUCUGAUCAAAAAGAUAAGGGUCCAAGGAAUAUAGCCCAAUAUAUAUGAAGGGACAACUAUGAGAACAAAGAUAGAGAACUAGAUAUGUACAAAAUUACAAGAUUGAUUCUCCUGUUUGCAUCCAAAGCUCUGAUUUGAGUUUGUGUAUUACAAUAUUUUAGAUACUAUUUAUAAACAAUUUGAGUUUAAACAUUUUAUAUUGUCCUUUAUUAAAUGAUUUAG